AUACGGAGGGUGCGAGCGUUGUUCGGAAUCACUGGGCGUAAAGGGCGCGCAGGCGGAUUGGUAAGUCAGAUGUGAAAGCCCACGGCUUAACCGUGGAAGUGCAUUUGAAACUGUCAGUCUUGAGUACCAGAGGGGAAAGUGGAAUUCCCGGUGUAGAGGUGAAAUUCGUAGAUAUCGGGAGGAAUACCGGUGGCGAAGGCGACUUUCUGGCUGGAUACUGACGCUGAGGCGCGAAAGCGUGGGGAGCAAACAGGAUUAGAUACCCUAGUAGUCC
Molecule: ribosomal RNA, 274 nt
Filed under: uncultured bacterium
Lineage: Bacteria
Description: partial 16S ribosomal RNA
Rfam family: Bacterial small subunit ribosomal RNA
Source: RNAcentral